GACGAACGCUGGCGGCGUGCUUAACACAUGCAAGUCGAGCGUAGCGGCGAACGGGUGAGUAACGCGUGAGUAACUGCCCCCCUCUCUGGGAUAACAGUUGGAAACGGCUGCUAUUACCGGAUAGUGGGGGAUGACUCGCGUCCUAUCCACUUGUUGGGGGGGUAGGGGCCUACCAAGGCGGCGACGGGUAGCCGGCCUGAGAGGGCGAACGGCCACAUUGAGCUGAGAUACGGCCCAGACUACUACGUGAGGCAGCAGUGGGGAAUAUUGCACAAGGGGGGAAACCCUGAUGAAGCAGCGCCGCGUGCGGGAUGACGGCCUUCGGGUUGUAAACCGCUGUCAGCCAUGACGCGGUAGUGGCAGAAGAAGCACCGGCUAACUACGUGCCAGCAGCCGCGGUAAUUC
This 405-nucleotide ribosomal RNA is filed under the name uncultured bacterium. RNAcentral's name for it is "partial 16S ribosomal RNA". It matches the Rfam family "Bacterial small subunit ribosomal RNA", at positions 28 to 526 of the family's 1533-position model. The record is from RNAcentral.